GAUGAACGCUGGCGGCGUGCCUAAUACAUGCAAGUCGAGCGAACGGACGAGAAGCUUGCUUCUCUGAUGUUAGCGGCGGACGGGUGAGUAACACGUGGAUAACCUACCUAUAAGACUGGGAUAACUUCGGGAAACCGGAUCUAAUACCGGAUGAUAUUUUGAACCGCAUGGUUCAAAAGUGAAAGACGGUCUUGCUGUCACUUAUAGAUGGAUCCGCGCUGCAUUAGCUAGUUGGAAGGUAACGGCUUACCAAGGCAACGAUGCAUAGCCGACCUGAGAGGGUGAUCGGCCACACUGGAACUGAGACACGGUCCAGACUCCUACGGGAGGCAGCAGUAGGGAAUCUUCCGCAAUGGGCGAAAGCCUGACGGAGCAACGCCGCGUGAGUGAUGAAGGUCUUCGGAUCGUAAAACUCUGUUAUUAGGGAAGAACAUAUGUGUAAGUAACUGUGCACAUCUUGACGGUACCUAAUCAGAAAGCCACGGCUAACUACGUG
This 496-nucleotide ribosomal RNA is filed under the name uncultured bacterium. RNAcentral describes it as "partial 16S ribosomal RNA". It matches the Rfam family "Bacterial small subunit ribosomal RNA", at positions 28 to 507 of the family's 1533-position model. The record is from RNAcentral.